UUCUUUUAGAAAAGAUUAAAAGUAAUUUCUGCUCCAUGAAUUUAAUAGCCGCAGUUUUCUGUGCUAAGGUAGCAUAAUCAAUUGUCUAUUAAUUGUAGACUAGAAUGAAGGAAGAUAUAAUUAAUAACUUUAUUCUUUAUAAAAAUUUAAAUUUAAAAUCAAAUAAAAAUGUUUGAGUAAAUAAUAGGGACAAGAAGACCCUAUAAAGCUUAAUAUAUUUUUUUAUUAAGUAAUGGAAAAUUAUGUUUAAUUGGGGAAAUUAAUUAUAAAUAAAAAAUAUAAAAAUAAUGAAAUAGCUAAAUCUAAAAAUUUUGAUCCAUAAAUUAUGAAAAGUUGAAAAAGUUACUUUAGGGAUAACAGGAUAAUUUUAUUUGAAAAGUACAUAUUUAUAAGUAAGAUUAUUACCUCGAUGUUGAAUUAAUUUUAUUUUAUGGUGAAGAAGCUAUGAAAAAUUUAACUGUUCGUUAAUUAAAUAAUUACA
Molecule: ribosomal RNA, 481 nt
Filed under: Purcellia argasiformis
Lineage: Eukaryota; Metazoa; Arthropoda; Arachnida; Opiliones; Pettalidae
Description: partial 16S large subunit ribosomal RNA
Source: RNAcentral